GUCGAGCACGGUGGCACGUGCCUAUAGUCCCAGCUACUCGGGAGGCUGAGGUGGGAGGAUCUCUUGCACCCAGGAGUUCUGGGCUGUAAUGCACUAUGCCAAUUGGGUGUCCACACUAAAUUCGGCAUCAAUGUGGUGACCUACCAGAGUGGGGGACCACCAGGUUGCUUAAGGAGGGGUGAACCAGUCCAAGUCAGAAACGGAGCAGGUCAAAAUUUCCGUGCUGAUAAGUAGUGGGAUCUCGCCUGUGAAUAGCCACUGCACUCCAGCCUGGGCAAUAUAGAGAGACUCCAUCUCUA
Molecule: unclassified non-coding RNA, 299 nt
Organism: Callithrix jacchus (white-tufted-ear marmoset)
Lineage: Eukaryota; Metazoa; Chordata; Mammalia; Primates; Cebidae
Rfam family: Metazoan signal recognition particle RNA
About the family: The signal recognition particle (SRP) is a universally conserved ribonucleoprotein. It is involved in the co-translational targeting of proteins to membranes. The eukaryotic SRP consists of a 300-nucleotide 7S RNA and six proteins: SRPs 72, 68, 54, 19, 14, and 9.
Source: Ensembl